UUAAAGGCUCUUUUCAGAGCCACCCCAAACCUCAGGAAAGAGCUGU
Non-coding RNA from Ailuropoda melanoleuca (giant panda), 46 nucleotides. NCBI's taxonomy places the organism in Eukaryota, Metazoa, Chordata, Mammalia, Carnivora, Ursidae. The record is from Rfam.